CCUACGGGUGGCAGCAGUGGGGAAUAUUGCUCAAUGGGCGAAACCCUGAAGCAGCCACGCCGCGUGGAGGAUGAAGGUCUUCGGAUUGUAAACCCCUUUUGGUAGAGAAGAAAAUGCAGGUAUCUAACGCAUAAUCAAUGGCCAUUACCGGGCCAGCAGCCGCGGUAACACGGCGGGUGCAAGCGUUACUCGGAAUCACUGGGCGUAAAGAGCGCGUAGGUGGGAUGUCAAGUCAGAUGUGAAAUCCUAUGGCUUAAUCAUAGAACUGCAUUUGAAACUGGCAUUCUAGAGUAUGGGAGAGGUAGGUGGAAUUCGUGGUGUAGGGGUGAAAUGCGUAGAGAUCAGGAGGAAUACUGAUUGCGAAGGCGACCUGCUAGAACAUAACUGACGCUGAUGCGCGAAAGCGUGGGGAGCAAACAGGAUUAGAUACCCUGGUAGUC
This 440-nucleotide ribosomal RNA is filed under the name uncultured bacterium. Its description in RNAcentral is "partial 16S ribosomal RNA". It matches the Rfam family "Bacterial small subunit ribosomal RNA", at positions 338 to 795 of the family's 1533-position model. The record is from RNAcentral.